AAACUUAAAGGAAUUGACGGGGGCCCGCACAAGCGGUGGAGCAUGUGGUUUAAUUCGAAGCAACGCGAAGAACCUUACCAGGUCUUGACAUCCUCUGACAACCCUAGAGAUAGGGCUUCUCCUUCGGGAGCAGAGUGACAGGUGGUGCAUGGUUGUCGUCAGCUCGUGUCGUGAGAUGUUGGGUUAAGUCCCGCAACGAGCGCAACCCUUGAUCUUAGUUGCCAUCAUUUAGUUGGGCACUCUAAGGUGACUGCCGGUGACAAACCGGAGGAAGGUGGGGAUGACGUCAAAUCAUCAUGCCCCUUAUGACCUGGGCUACACACGUGCUACAAUGGACGGUACAAAGAGCUGCAAGACCGCGAGGUGGAGCUAAUCUCAUAAAACCGUUCUCAGUUCGGAUUGUAGGCUGCAACUCGCCUACAUGAAGCUGGAAUCGCUAGUAAUCGCGGAUCAGCAUGCC
This 460-nucleotide ribosomal RNA is filed under the name Bacillus sp. PCSIR-NL35. RNAcentral's name for it is "bacterial SSU rRNA". It matches the Rfam family "Bacterial small subunit ribosomal RNA", at positions 897 to 1358 of the family's 1533-position model. The record is from RNAcentral. Lineage: Bacteria; Bacillati; Bacillota; Bacilli; Caryophanales; Bacillaceae.